Molecule: ribosomal RNA, 447 nt
Filed under: Triticum aestivum (bread wheat)
Lineage: Eukaryota; Viridiplantae; Streptophyta; Magnoliopsida; Poales; Poaceae
Description: partial small subunit ribosomal RNA
Source: RNAcentral
AUGAAUGGCAUCUUUUGGAACUGCAGAGGAGCAGGUAAAAAAGGGAUGAUGACCUGCUUCUCUGAUCUUAUAAAAGAUCAUUCCCUAGAUUUUUUGUGCCUACAAGAAACUAUGAAGAAGAAAUUUUUUAGGAAUAUUGACCCUUAUAAGACCUUUGAGUGGAGCUGGAUUCCCUCUAUUGGUAAGUCCGGAGGCAUGCUUUGUGGGGUGAAAAAAGAGAAGCUAGAAAUAGUAUCUUGGUCUCUGGGAAAAUAUAUCUUACAAGUUGUUAUAUUUGAUGUGGCUAAACAAUAUGUAUGGGCUCUGCUUAAUGUUUAUGGUGCUAUCGACGAUGAUCAAAAAGAGGAAUUCCUUUCUGAACUUGCUAACUUUUGUAGCCACUUGACAAUGCCUUAUAUAGUUGGGGGUGAUUUUAAUAUUCUAAGGCAUUGUGGAGAAAAUAAAUAA